UUUAUUUUGUUCUUUUCUCUACCUUCUUACGAUCUAUACAAUUCCUUUUCGUGCGCUUCUCCUAAACUUUUUUUUUCUUCUUCUUUCUGCCACCUUGCUCCCCUCUUGCGUCCCUCUGUAUUCUUUCCGUUUUCGAUUUAGUCUCAUUCGCACUGUCACCGACUUCUCGACUCUUCUGGGCCUCUGUUGUCCUUCUUUCCCCCUGGUUCCAGCGGUCCUGCGGGAUUCCCGGGGUCCGCCCCGGGGUGGGUCGCCCGGCUCCCCUGGGCGCUGCGCCCUCGCGCAGGCGGCCCCUGGCCACCAGUCCCUGCUGCGCCCUUCCCUCCCCCGCUGCACCUGGAGAGCGAGCCGGGGAGAGACCCCUGGGCGGGGGGACGACACAUCACCCGUUUUCUCUCUGACCGCGGGCGUCGCGGGCGAGAAGGGCAGCGCCCGGCGGAGAAAGGCCGGGUCCCCGCGCGCGGCCCCUCUGCCCCGCCCGCCGCCGGCCGCCCGUUUGAUGUCGCGGGCCCCGCAGGAAUGCGGCCGGGUUAUCAAUCACCCAGCUGGAUCCCGAAGGUCUCGGCCUAAUCACAUUUAAUUGCUCGUGGAGGCCCACUCUCGCCCCGGGCCGGCCGCCGCGCUCAAUUACUCCCCAAAUACCUGCCAUCAAUAAAUGCGCGCUGACACCGGCCCGGCCCGCUCCGCUGGCCCUGGAGACCUCAGUCGGCCAGGCGCCCGCACCCCACCCCCACCCCCGUCAUUAAACUUACACCUCGACGCUGGAGGAGCAAGCCCAGCAGGUAACAGUCCCCUAUUAUUGAGCGCUUCCCAAGGGCCAGACACGGGUGCCUAGCGAUUUACACGCAUCAGUCAGGUGGGGUCUCAGCACCGUCAGGGGAUGCGGGUACCUUCUCGGUUGGAGUUACGGGAACUUAGGUUCCUCCGUUAACGUGCCCGAGGUGGCAAAGAAACCUUGGCAUUCAAAAACUGUGAGCUCUCCCACGUUCACAGAGCAGAACAGUAAACCUCAGACAGCAAAGUGCCCAGAGAGGUGACAUCGCAAGGCUGGAAUCACACAGGGCUGAUAAGGAAACUGAGACCCUGAGAGAUUACGUUAUUCGUCUGUCGUCUCACAGCCGGGGAAUGGCAGAGCUGGAAUUUGAACCGGUGGAUUCCAAGGAACAUGCUCUCAGAAGUACUCUUGCAGAGCGUCCACCAUCUCCAGGAUGAAGGGGAUGGUCCUUGGGCCCAUUGGGUUU
Long non-coding RNA from Hyaena hyaena (striped hyena), 1241 nucleotides. RefSeq lists it as uncharacterized. The record is from RefSeq and is a predicted model, not a curated record. NCBI's taxonomy places the organism in Eukaryota, Metazoa, Chordata, Mammalia, Carnivora, Hyaenidae. The transcript is spliced from 3 exons.